CCCUUCGAUGUUCUGGGCUGCACGCGCGCUACAAUGGCACUGACAGAAAGGAGCCAAGUCGAAAGACUCGGCCAAACUGGAAUCAGUGUCGUGAUUGGGAUUGAGCUUUGUAAAUAGCUCAUGAAAGAGGAAUUCCUCGUAAGCGCGAGUCACCAACUCGUGUUGAAUACGUCUCUGCCCUUUGUACACACCGCCCGUCGCUACUACUGAUUGAAUUGGUUUUUGAAGCGCAAGGAUUGGCGCUCAUCUUUUUGAGCUGCCGAGAAUCGCCCUAAAAAAAUCAUUCGAGAGGAAGUAAAAGUCGUAACA
This 309-nucleotide ribosomal RNA is filed under the name uncultured eukaryote. RNAcentral describes it as "partial 18S ribosomal RNA". It matches the Rfam family "Eukaryotic small subunit ribosomal RNA", at positions 1470 to 1796 of the family's 1831-position model. The record is from RNAcentral.